RNAcentral lists this ribosomal RNA (274 nucleotides) under uncultured bacterium. RNAcentral describes it as "partial 16S ribosomal RNA". It matches the Rfam family "Bacterial small subunit ribosomal RNA", at positions 523 to 796 of the family's 1533-position model. The record is from RNAcentral.
AUACGGAUGGUGCGAGCGUUGUUCGGAAUUACUGGGCGUAAAGGGCGCGUAGGCGGCGAUGCAAGUCAAAUGUGAAAGUCCUCGGCUUAACCGGGGAAGUGCGUCUGAAACUGCAUUGCUUGAGUAUGGGAGAGGAAAGUGGAAUUCCCGGUGUAGAGGUGAAAUUCGUAGAGAUCGGGAGGAAUACCGGUGGCGAAGGCGACUUUCUGGACCAAUACUGACGCUGAGGCGCGAAAGCGUGGGGAGCAAACAGGAUUAGAAACCCCAGUAGUCC